Molecule: long non-coding RNA, 1492 nt
Organism: Bombina bombina (fire-bellied toad)
Lineage: Eukaryota; Metazoa; Chordata; Amphibia; Anura; Bombinatoridae
Exons: 2
Source: RefSeq, a predicted model, not a curated record
AUCUGGCUUCCAUCUGAGCACAAACUAGUCACUUACAGAUUAUAUUAGCAGAAGAAUUCGUUGACAGACAAAUAACAUAAACAAAAGUCGCUGCUCUUUGGAUUUCCCCUUCUCAGAAGUUUUUGAGGAUUCCCAAUAGAUCUAAGGUGUCAAGUCAUCGGCUUCUUGCUAGUGCCUGUCCUCUCCCGAGUGGGUGACUGCAUGUUUAUCCUCAGGCGAGGAGGAUGCUGAUUUGAAUAAUUUUCCUCCUCUUCUCACUGGCAAUUGAGACCCUUGUCAUCGAUUCUUGGAGAAAAACCUUGACAAUACUAGCAGCAACUACUGGCAGGAGAGCUGGAUUAGCUGCAUAAGAGAAAAGAAAGCACAGGAGAGAGUGCAAGACAUUGUGUCGACGCAGAUAAAUAUCUCAGUUUACUCAAUGCCAUAAACAGUGUUACGCAAAUAAAUGAGUUGUUUCUUGCUAGCAUAUGUAAGUUUAUAAGAUCUAUUUCGAGUAAGUAAAUAAAGCUGUCUGUACCAUAAACACCCAGCAGCUGUGAUAGCUUUUAUCAACUCUUCUUUCAUUAAGUCUCUAAAAUCAUUAAACAAUAAUGCUUAAAUCCCUCAUUUGUUUAUAUGAUGUACAAAUACACAAUUGCAAAGUACCUGCAUGGAAUAGUUUACUAAGUUCAUUUUUUAGAGCUCCCCUUAUAAAUUUGUUUAUUUGCAGCCACAUAGCAAGUGACCUGAUUGAGGUAUUAGACUUCUGUCUAUUUUGAGACAUUUCUGUCAACACCUGAACAGAACAGAAAUGAAAUGUACCUUCUUCCUGGUACACCAAAUGUCUUCUUCCUUUUUAUACAUCAUAACCCCCCUUCCCUUACCAAGAUCUCCAGCAGACUGCUGAAGGAAUUAGGGAUGACCUUGGCAGCUGAUUGUCAAGGUCAGAGCAGACUAGGCUGCCUCAGGUGUCAGCAUAGGCUCAGUUUGUGCAACUCCUCUCCACCUGAUGUGAUCUGAUCCAAUAAUAGUCACUGUGUUAGCCUUUAAUGAGGUACCCUGUGAGAGCUUAUCGGCCCCCACCUGCUGUCUGCGAUAAUACCAACAGACCUAGAGAAUGCCAACAUGCAGUCAGCAUCCUCUUCCCAUUUUCUUUCUGAUGUUCAGGAAUAUUGUGUUUCAGGCUCACAAUAAGCAUUUAUAUUCAGACUUGUCUUUGAUCCAUAUAUGUCCUGAAAAAAGGCACCUGUCAGCUCUGAUGGCAUCAGGAUGAAACAAUAUAGUGUCAUACAAACGUAUACUUUACUUAUGGACCAUGGAUUAUAAAAACUGAAACUAGUUUGUCAGCCCUUUAGCUCCUAAAAUUCAGUGUUAUAGGUUGAGAACAAAAUAAUGGAAUGCAUUUUUCUCUCAGCAUGAUUCUUCUGUCUGUCACAUUGUAAAAAAUAUAGCCUAAUUACUGUCAGGCUAUAACACAGUAAUUAAACAAUAUUAAAGAAAUUUACACAAACAA